This is a long non-coding RNA of Alnus glutinosa, 800 nucleotides long. RefSeq lists it as uncharacterized. The transcript has 2 exons. Lineage: Eukaryota; Viridiplantae; Streptophyta; Magnoliopsida; Fagales; Betulaceae. The record is from RefSeq and is a predicted model, not a curated record.
AUUAUACAUCAAAAUAAAAAGCUGCUAAAGUGGAAGAAAAUACAUGGCGUGCAAAUGUAUUAGCAAACUUAUGGUUGUGAUGAUGGAGUUGCUUAUCCUUAUUCUCCUAAAAGUGCAAGCUAAUGACCUUGCCCAUAUCUCUUUUCGUCCCUCUUCACCUCCGACCAUGCUUCCUUAUUUCUCUGAACUCGAUAAAGACCUUGCCCCUACCUCUUUUUCUUCGUCUCCACUUCUCGUCCUUGAUCCUCAAUCCUUUGAACUUGAUAAAGUUAAAAGAACAAUGUACAAUUGCCUUGAAGAUAAAAUUAAAAAUUGUGAAAAAAAAGGCGCACAAGGCACCUUGGAAUUCGAAGAAUGCAUAUUGAAAGCUCAUCGAAAAUGCUUGAUUAGGCAUCGAUAUCGCAAAAAAAUGACUUUUGAGAGUUCACACUGCUUACUUAAUUGCUUUGAGUAUCGAAGUCAUGAGAUUGGCGCAUGUUUCUUAGAAUGUUAUGAAAAGUAUUUCAAGACGCAAUAAGAUGUCGUUUAUACGUAGAAUCCCCUGUGUAAGGUCAGAUUCAUACGGAGGCUUCUUAGAGAAUGUGCAAGAGCAAGACUUGCUAGAUAACAUUUCUCGAUUGUCUAUUAUUUCAAAUAAUUUUGGUUUUUAGUUUUUGAAUAAUGUUAACUACGGAUGUUGUACUAGCUGAUUUGAUACUGUUAUAUUUUUUAGUUUUUAUGUUUGAAAAUUUUGUACCCACAAUUAUGUAAUUUGGGAGUUGAAUUUUUAAUUGGAUUUGUUGAUCUUGUUUUAUGUGUGA